RNAcentral lists this long non-coding RNA (216 nucleotides) under Carica papaya (papaya). RNAcentral describes it as "long non-coding RNA (CPAP_LNC004491)". The record is from RNAcentral. Lineage: Eukaryota; Viridiplantae; Streptophyta; Magnoliopsida; Brassicales; Caricaceae.
UCAAGUAAUCAUUGAGCUUAAAUGCAAGAUACGAGACAUGGAUGUUAGGGCUCUCUAAUCCCUUUGAAUUUGAAAGCCUUAUCAUUAGGAACAUUAAAGGUUACCAUCUUCCAAUGAUAAUCUAUAUUGGAAUGGUAUGCUACCAACCAAUCCAUUCCUAGUAUAAUGUUAAAAUCAUGCACGUUUAGGAGUACGAGAUCUACUGGUAACUCUCUG